AGCUUGACACUGAACAUUGAGCCUUGAUGUGUAGGAUAGGUGGGAGGCUUUGAAGCGUGGACGCCAGUCUGCGUGGAGCCAACCUUGAAAUACCACCCUUUAAUGUUUGAUGUUCUAACGUAGACCCGUAAUCCGGGUUGCGGACAGUGUCUGGUGGGUAGUUUGACUGGGGCGGUCUCCUCCCAAAGAGUAACGGAGGAGCACGAAGGUUAGCUAAUCCUGGUCGGACAUCAGGAGGUUAGUGCAAUG
Molecule: ribosomal RNA, 249 nt
Filed under: Klebsiella sp. H-Nf2
Lineage: Bacteria; Pseudomonadati; Pseudomonadota; Gammaproteobacteria; Enterobacterales; Enterobacteriaceae
Description: partial 23S ribosomal RNA
Rfam family: Bacterial large subunit ribosomal RNA
Source: RNAcentral